This 30-nucleotide ribosomal RNA is filed under the name Habronema muscae. Its description in RNAcentral is "partial 28S ribosomal RNA". RNAcentral also lists the same sequence under 1 other name. Lineage: Eukaryota; Metazoa; Nematoda; Chromadorea; Rhabditida; Habronematidae. The record is from RNAcentral.
UGAUUCGUUGACCUCAGCUCAGUCGUGAUU